Molecule: long non-coding RNA, 2293 nt
Organism: Oncorhynchus tshawytscha (Chinook salmon)
Lineage: Eukaryota; Metazoa; Chordata; Actinopteri; Salmoniformes; Salmonidae
Exons: 5
Source: RefSeq, a predicted model, not a curated record
AAGCGUUCCCAGAAAUAUCGCGGUCUCUUGAGUUUAUAAACUGUGAUAUUGGUGCUUUCAAGCCAACAGGGAAGUCGGAAAAAACUAGGUCAAAUCAUGACGUCAGUGAUCUUCAAGUCGGAAAGUUGCAGCUCAAGAAAGAUGCUCCAGCUUCCGACUUUGAAUUCCGAGUUGAUUGACAGUCCAAACGUUUUUUUCCCAGAAGUCCCAGUUGUCAUGAACGGACUGAAUUCAGAUAUUUCCGAGUUUCCAAUUGUUUUGAACGCGGCAUAUGAUAUGAAAGAGCAGACGCAACAGGGCUCUGUAAACGUUGUAAAAGGAUCCUAGAUUAUAGCCUAGUACUUCCGUGUUUGUACAUUAGCUGUUCCCGAACCUGGACAAGUGGUAAAUUGUCAAAUUUGAAUUGUUACAAAUGUUGGCUAAAUGAAUGUUGAUUAGGCGAUUUGUGUUAACAGCUGGAGGCCUAAUAACUGUAAUAAUGUGCCAGCUUCCAUAGUUUUACAUUCAAUUUCCAUUGAAAUACAAAACACAGAUUUUCAAGUGCAACUCAAAUGUGUCUUGAAAAAACAAUCAUAUAUUUUAAUCAUUGAGUGUUGUCAAUAUUGUAUUGAUUUACUUAACCUGUCAAUGACGUUAGUCUCAUUGUGAUCAAAUCCCGUUUGCGAGACCUAAGAAAGGCCCAUUCUGUGCUAGUUACCGCUGUUUUUGGUCAUUUGAAGUACACCUACAUUUUACUCUUCAAACCUCAAUUUUGUUCUUCAAAAUGCUAGUGUUGAAUUGUUAUUUCUAUACCAAGGACAACCUAGAGAAGACUUAGGUUAUCUUUAAUGUCAUAACUAACAAUGACAAAAUGUCUGCAGCUGUAUUAAAGUAUCAAGCUUUCAGUGUGUAGUUUUCUUUGCAGGUGUUUGUUGAAGUCAACCACCCACACAAGGAUCAUCGACCAUGUCCACCUCUAUCACCACUGCAAAUGGAAUUGUGGUAGUGUCACAAGUUUUCCACUUGGCGGAGAAUGGCAAGGCUUCAGUGCCACUUCUGAAUGUCACUCCCCAGAUCCAGAGUGUGCCCCCUGCUGUGCCACUGCCUACCACUAAAGUGUCAGAGAUGACAAGGGUGUUCCUGCAGCUUCAGCCACAAUCUCUUGGGGAUUGUUCAGAUCGUCCUUGGAUUGGUGUGCAUGGUGGUGAACCUGUCUGCUCUUCUCACCCCUAUCCUGUAUGACCAGUUCCCACUCUUCAUGGGAGUUGCUGUAAGUUCUUGGUCCCAAGGAGGCAAGUAAUAUCCAACACAGAGAUGUUUCCUCAGAGUGAAUCUGCUGUCAUCUAUCUUACAGUAGUACUAUUGUAACCUAGAAAAGUAGGUGAACAAGAAGGAUAACUGACUUCAGAUCAGCACUCAUGACCAAAGGGCAUCCCACACCCACAGGAGACGGCAGAACUUGUGUUUAUCUAUAAAGUGUAGACCUCUACAGUAGGUGACAUUGGAUGUGGCAGUUGAUUGGUCAGCAUCACCUUAGCUUCAUAUGCCAAUGGUCUAAAGUGUCUUUCUUUCCUGUUGCUCACACUCUCCAGUUUGUCCUCUCUGGAUCUCUCACUGAAGGCUGCCCGGAAAGGAACACGUUUGAGUCUGAUUAAAGGGACUCUGGCUGUGAAUGUUGUCAGUGUUCUUGUGGCUCUGGCUGGGGUUGCCUAUAUUUGUAUGCUUCUGACUGUGAAACAUGAAGAUGGUUUCUGCACCGACACUGACAACAACUAUACUUCCAAUUCCAACCAGAACAGGAUAAAGGAAUGCACAAUUAUGGUUAGGACACUAUAUACAGUCUUGAAUGAAGGGCCUUCUACUGGUCCUGACGGUGAUGGAGCUCUGUGUGGCUCUCACUGUCUGCGUCUUCUCUGGGAAAUCCAUUCACCUCCGUGGGUACUACAGCCUGAGCUGUGGCCGGGGAAUGGUGGUGGUAGAGUCUGGUACUGACCCCACCGGAGCCAGCCAGGCCUCCCUGAGCGACAGUGACGUGGCCUUACUGAGCAGUGUUGAAGACUCUGACACCCCGGCUCCACCGUACUCUCCUUGAGGCAGAACAAUACCAUACACCUCACCCUAGGAAGUGUGAUGCCAUUGCGAAUGUUUCCGAUGUUUUGUUAUCAAUGUGAACAGUCAUGUGUCCUGGUGAUGGUUCUGUCCUGAUGAAUGUAGUGCUUACUAAUUCAUGAAGUAGGACUCUUUGCUAUUUCAUAUUACUGGAGAGUUGCUCUUGAUUUCUGACUAUCAUUCUUACAUUCAAUAAAUGUAAUAU